AACUCACAAGCUAUGAGUGACAUCUAACCAUAUGUCAUAGCUACCCAAGCUAAUGUAGAAGUUGUUUGGAGAACCUAUUCAGUUGGAAUUACAAUGUAAUUCGAUCAUUCUCUAAAACAAUACUCUCAAUCACAUUACUAGGGUAUGGAUAUAUUAUGUCAAACCCCUAAUGUGAUUAUUCCUUCUUAUAUGAUUCAUUUGAGUCGUAUAGGAACGCUUUCCUUUAUUAUGCUCGAUACUUCGGCCGAAGAUUCCCGAAUCAUAUCUUAGAGUAUUCUUCCUCUCUAAUCGAGGAUUAGAGAUUCUUUGUUGCGCAUUCACUUGUCUUCAUGACUAAGUGGCUUAACCCCAAUUAUGCCGUGGACAUCCGCGAAUGGGGUGACUUUGACAUAAUCAAAGAUUAAGUACUUAGCCACAAGACAAUGACGAUGCCUCAAGUCAAAGGACUACUUACAUUAUUCCAACCAUUAGAGUUACUUGCUUGACAUGUGAGUAGACCUUCAUGCAAGUACUCUCGUUCGAUUGUGUUCAGUGAACUCAUUCUCUUAAUGAGCACCUACAUACUUGUCUUAGUGUCACUAUACAAAUGGGAUAAGACUUUCCAUUCUUCCAUUUGAAGCGGACACAAUAUGUACCGGUCUAAGCAUUGUCAGUGUCCCUCCGACAAUCCAAUGACCAGGAACCUUUUUGGACUUAAUGGUUAUGUGAAGAAGGUCUCUUUAGUCUAACAUCAUUAGAUUACUUCUUCAAUCGAUCCAUUGUCCAUGGAUUCAUUAAUAAGGACAUAUAUCGUUUAUUAAGAUAGUCCUAAUUAGUAUCUUUGCCAUUUGAUGUAUAAGAGUCAUCCAUACAUCGAUUCAUUUGUCCUGAAAUGUUUCUUCCAAAGAUUGACUUUCAGGGCAUAUUUCCAACAUGGUUGGCAGUGUGCCUUGAAAAGAGGGAAAGUCUUGCUGACAGAAAAAUCAGAGAAGGAGCGAGGAGAGCAUAUGGGAAACAAAAACAAAAGCAACAAAGGUGCAGAGGAAAGGCAAAAGCAAUCAAGUGAGCUACGGGAAACAGAAAUAAAAGCAAAAGAGAAAGCAAAAACAAGGAAUAAACACCCCACCAAAAUGAUGUGAUUUGCUUUUCUUGUUUUUGUGUGAUGUGAUUUAUUUUUUAUCUUUCGGAAACAUCUGUAUAAACCCUAUCAGAGGGUAAUCCAAAAAAAAAAACGGCAAAGCCCAAAAUAAAUGGGCUGGAAUGUUGUGUGGAGAACGAAGGCCCAUAAGCCCAAAAUAGCACCAACCAGGUGACCAAAAGUACGCUCAGUACUAGAAAAAAUUAUUUGGCACCUUGUCGCUAUUACCACCAACCAGGUGUUCAAAAGUACGCCCAAUACUCCAAAACUAUUCGGCAACCUGCUGCUAUUAUCACCAACCAGGUGAUUAAAAGUACGUCCAGUACUCUAAAACUAUUCUGCAACCUGCCGCUAUUACCACCAACCAGGUGAUAAAAAAUACGCCCAGUACUUCAAAUUAUACAUGAGCAUUACUCAUGUCAAUCAUACACAAACAUUCAUGAGCAUUACUCAUGUCAAUCAUAAACAUUUAUGAGCAUCACUCAUAUCAAUCAUACAUAAACAUUCAUGAGUAUCACUCAUGUCAACAUUCAUAAGCAUUACUCAUGUCAACAUCCAUGAGCAUCACUCAUGUCAAUCAACAUAAACAUUCAUGAGCAUCACUCAUGCCAAUAAGCUUCAAAAGCUUCAUUUACAAAAGCUCUAGCUUCAAAAGCUUCAAUUAUAGAGCUUUAGCUUCAAAAGCUUCAUUUACAAAAGCCCUAAUUUCAAAAGCUUCAUUUACAAAAGCCCUAGCUUCAAAAACUUCAUUUAUAGAGCUUUAGCUUCAAAAGCUGCAUUUACAAAAGCUCUAGCUUCAAAAGCUUCAUUUACAGAGCUCUAGCUUCAAAGCUUUACUUGCAAAGCUUCACCUACAAAGCUUCAAUGAAGGGUAUACAAAUACUGAUGCGAAAUAUAUAAGCACAUAAAUUAAACUCUCUUUAUCAAUUGUAGCAAAGUAUGUAAGUAGGGAUCGUUCUAAACCGGGGAUUAUGAGGGAUUGCUAAACACUUGAAAACUGACUUAAAAACGUAAAAACAAAGUUUAAAACACU
Molecule: long non-coding RNA, 2150 nt
Filed under: Malus domestica (apple)
Lineage: Eukaryota; Viridiplantae; Streptophyta; Magnoliopsida; Rosales; Rosaceae
Description: long non-coding RNA (MDOM_LNC015995)
Source: RNAcentral